This 367-nucleotide long non-coding RNA is filed under the name Pan troglodytes (chimpanzee). Its description in RNAcentral is "long non-coding RNA NONPTRT012054". Lineage: Eukaryota; Metazoa; Chordata; Mammalia; Primates; Hominidae. The record is from RNAcentral.
CAGGCAAGAAAGAGAAAAGUUAGAGAGGAAUAUGACAAGAGGAUGAAAGAAACAAUAAGGCACAGGAAAAUGAAUCUUAAAAGCAGGCAGAAGGAGAUAAGGUCAAAGGUCUGUUAGCACAGGUGCCAUCACUAGAAUUUCCAGCACACCAGCACCAACCCAGGGACCAUGUUCUCAUCAAAGGGUGGAAGGAAGGGAAACUUGAGCCCACCUGAGUAGGCCCCUAUCUUGUGCUCUUAACCACUGAGAUUGCCGUCUGCACAGCUGAGAAAUGAUGGACCCACCAUACUUCAGUCAAGGAAUCAUCUUCCUCAUCAGAAUCAUGGGUUACUAUACCAGGAUCGAGUCCUACCAAGUUAAAAUUAAA